ACGGAAGGCAGCAGUGGGGAAUAUUGGGCAAUGGGCGAAAGCCUGACCCAGCAACGCCGCGUGAAGGAAGAAGGCCUUCGGGUUGUAAACUUCUUUUACCAGGGACGAAGGACGUGACGGUACCUGGAGAAAAAGCCACGGCUAACUACGUGCCAGCAGCCGCGGUAAUAAGUAGGUGGCAAGCGUUGUCCGGAUUUACUGGGUGUAAAGGGCGUGUAGGCGGAACUGUAAGUCAGAUGUGAAAUCCCGGGGCUCAACCCCGGAACUGCAUUUGAAACUGCAGUCCUUGAGUAUCGGAGAGGCAAGCGGAAUUCCCAGUGUAGCGGUGAAAUGCGUAGAUAUUAGGAGGAACACCAGUGGCGAAGGCGGCUUGCUGGACGACAACUGACGCUGAGGAGCGAAAGCGUGGGGAGCAAACAGGAUUAGAUACCUGGUA
RNAcentral lists this ribosomal RNA (436 nucleotides) under uncultured Oscillospiraceae bacterium. RNAcentral's name for it is "bacterial SSU rRNA". It matches the Rfam family "Bacterial small subunit ribosomal RNA", at positions 341 to 792 of the family's 1533-position model. Lineage: Bacteria; Bacillati; Bacillota; Clostridia; Eubacteriales; Oscillospiraceae. The record is from RNAcentral.